Molecule: ribosomal RNA, 301 nt
Filed under: uncultured bacterium
Lineage: Bacteria
Description: partial 16S ribosomal RNA
Rfam family: Bacterial small subunit ribosomal RNA
Source: RNAcentral
CAGCAGCGCGGUAAUACGAAGGGGGCUAGCGUUGUUCGGAAUUACUGGGCGUAAAGCGCACGUAGGCGGACAUUUAAGUCAGGGGUGAAAUCCCGGGGCUCAACCCCGGAACUGCCUUUGAUACUGGGUGUCUAGAGUAUGGAAGAGGUGAGUGGAAUUCCGAGUGUAGAGGUGAAAUUCGUAGAUAUUCGGAGGAACACCAGUGGCGAAGGCGGCUCACUGGUCCAUUACUGACGCUGAGGUGCGAAAGCGUGGGGAGCAAACAGGAUUAGAUACCCCAGUAGUCCCUGUCUCUUAUACA